Molecule: transfer RNA, 73 nt
Filed under: bacterium
Lineage: Bacteria
Also listed under: 4 other names
Description: tRNA-Phe
Rfam family: tRNA
About the family: Transfer RNA (tRNA) molecules are approximately 80 nucleotides in length.
Source: RNAcentral
GGCCAGGUAGCUCAGUUGGUAGAGCAACGGACUGAAAAUCCGUGUGUCGCCGGUUCGAUCCCGGCCCUGGCCA